Haliotis rufescens (red abalone) is the source of this 1296-nucleotide long non-coding RNA. RefSeq lists it as uncharacterized. The record is from RefSeq and is a predicted model, not a curated record. Lineage: Eukaryota; Metazoa; Mollusca; Gastropoda; Lepetellida; Haliotidae. The transcript is spliced from 2 exons.
UUCGAGAUCUUCUACUGACAAGAUGUUUACUAGGCUGCAUAUUCAAGCACGGGAAGACAUGAUCCGGUAUCAUGUCACUCCUGCUGCGAGUUUAUGGCCGUCGCUGGUUGAGGAAUCCGACUGUGUAUGUAUUUCAUCUAGCAUUCGGCGGAAUAGUUUGCUUCUGUUGCCCAUGUGUCGAUGUCGUGUUACACGUAACAAUGCACGUGACUUUUCUCACUAUCCAUUAUUGUGUCUUGAAAAUAGCGCAAUAACGCCCCUCUCCCAUUUUCGCAUUUCCAUUUUGUUUUCGACCAGCAUGUUUGUUGUGGCAUACCAUCUCAUUUCAUGUGUAAUGUGUGGCUAUCACUCUAGUUUCUUUUGCCCUUUUUUACUUGAACACAUCCCAUAAACCUCGCCCACUUACCCUCCUAUAUCCCUCCCUCCCCCAUCACUGAUGUAGCGUCCCCAGGCUGCGUCCUCGACCCCCUCUCCCGACCCCGUGAGUGUUUUCACCCCAUUCUGGGCCCGCCCUGACCACGGUGAGACGCUCCCUGCCCCAGUCACGAUCACCUACGUCGAUUAUUAUCCUGCCCCUAGUGACGACGACAGUGACUACUGGGUCUAUGAGGACGAGGACGAUGACAGCUUCAUGGAGGACCGAGAAGUUCAUCCUCUGAGGAAGGCACUGAGGAGAGUGGCUGCCUUCUGGAGGAGAAUCUUCUCGUAGAUUUCUCAUCCAGUGUGUGUGUAUGUGUGUGCGUUUGUAUGUAUGUUUGAGAGUAUGUUUGUAUGUGUGAGAGGUUGUGUUUUGCAUGUUUGAUUGGGUGUAUGUGUGAAUGUGUGAGAGGAUGUGGUUUUUAUGUUUCAUGUGUGGUUGGUUGUAUGUGUGACAGGAUGUGUUUUGCACGUGAGUUGGGUGCAAGAGUGUGUCUGUGUGUGAGAUGAUUUUCUUGUACUUGGGAGUGGGUGUAUGUGUGAUGAUUAGUUUUGCAAGUGUGUCCGCGUAUCGGUGUGCGUGUGUGUAUGAGAGAGAGGGAGAGAGAGAGUAUGGAUUGGUGUCUGUCUAUCUAAGAAAACAUUUCUCCAUUUUGGUCUUUUUUGGCUUCACCCUUUUGGCGCUUUUUUGGACACACGUUCUUGAUCUAGUUUUCAAUGUUUUGGCAUACUCUUUGGCUGAUCUUUCGAAGUUUAUUUCUCUUCUUAUUAGAGGACAUUUUUUGUGCUCAUCUUUUGGCCCUGAUUUAGAGAAUACUAUCUUUAGGCACAUGCCUUUCUAUUUCUAAAUCAUAUAUUAAUAAAUAUUGAUGAAUGGUA